AGAGUUUGAUCAUGGCUCAGGAUGAACGCUGGCGGUAUGCUUAACACAUGCAAGUCGAACGGGUACUUCGGUACUAGUGGCGGACGGGUGAGUAACGCGUGAGAAUCUGGCUUCAGGUCGGGGACAACAGUUGGAAACGACUGCUAAUACCGGAUGUGCCUUUAGGGGUGAAAGAUUAAUUGCCUGAAGAUGAGCUCGCGUCUGAUUAGCUAGUUGGUGUGGUAAAGGCGCACCAAGGCGACGAUCAGUAGCUGGUCUGAGAGGAUGAUCAGCCACACUGGAACUGAGACACGGUCCAGACUCCUACGGGAGGCAGCAGUGGGGAAUUUUCCGCAAUGGGCGAAAGCCUGACGGAGCAAUACCGCGUGGGGGAGGAAGGCUCUUGGGUUGUAAACCUCUUUUCUCAGGGAAUAAUGAUGAAGGUACCUGAGGAAUCAGCAUCGGCUAACUCCGUGCCAGCAGCCGCGGUAAUUC
This 474-nucleotide ribosomal RNA is filed under the name uncultured bacterium. RNAcentral's name for it is "bacterial SSU rRNA". It matches the Rfam family "Bacterial small subunit ribosomal RNA", at positions 8 to 526 of the family's 1533-position model. The record is from RNAcentral.